AAAAGUUUGGUCCUAGCUUUAUUAUCAAGUAUUUCUUAACUUACACAUGCAAGUCUCAGCAAACCAGUGAGGACGCCCUUAUUUUCUUCUCCAGUCUAAGGAGCUGACAUCAGGCUCAUAACAUACACACCCAUAACGUCUAGUCCCACCACACCCACAAGGGUAUUCAGCAGUGAUAAAGAUUGUCUAUAAGCGUUAGCUUGAAUCAGUUAAAGAAAAGAGGGCCGGCCAACCUGGUGCCAGCCGCCGCGGCUACACCGUGGGGCUCAAAUUGAUAAUAGUCGGCGUUAAGCGUGGUUAAAGUUCUCAUUAAAUUAGAGUUAAAUUUUAGCUUAACUGUGAAAAGUUUGCUAUAAAGAAAACCAUAAACGAAAGUUACUCUAAUAAUCUACUUGAAUCCGACGACAGCUAGGAUCACAAACUGGGAUCAGAUACCCCACUAUGCCUAGCCGUAAAAAAUUUAUUUACACCAACAAGCGCCAGGGAAUUACGAGCGUAUGCUUAAAAUCCAAAGGAUUUGACGGUGUCCCACCCACCUAGAGGAGCCUGUUCUAUAAUCGAUGAUCCUCGAUAUACCCAACCAUUUCUUGCUUUUCAGCCUGUAUACCUCCGUCGCAAGCUUACCAUUUGAAUGUAAAAAAGUAGGUUUAAGGAUUCCCCAUCAAUACGUCAGGUCAAGGUGCAGCCAAUGUAAUGGAAAGUAAUGGGCUACAAUUUCUAUAAUAGAACAAACGAAACACUGCAUGAAAAACAGUCAUGAAGGCGGAUUUAGUAGUAAAAGGAGAAUAGAGAGCCCCUUUUAACAAGGCCCUGGGACGUGUACAAACCGCCCGUCACCCUCUUCAGCGGCGUAAAAUUUAAGUUUUUAACCCAACAAAAGAAAUCAGAAGAGGCAAGUCGUAACAUGGUAAGUGUACUGGAAAGUGCACUUGGUUAAC
RNAcentral lists this non-coding RNA (938 nucleotides) under Mantella madagascariensis (Madagascar golden frog). RNAcentral describes it as "12S rRNA". It matches the Rfam family "Bacterial small subunit ribosomal RNA". The record is from RNAcentral. Lineage: Eukaryota; Metazoa; Chordata; Amphibia; Anura; Mantellidae.